This 274-nucleotide ribosomal RNA is filed under the name uncultured bacterium. Its description in RNAcentral is "partial 16S ribosomal RNA". It matches the Rfam family "Bacterial small subunit ribosomal RNA", at positions 523 to 796 of the family's 1533-position model. The record is from RNAcentral.
AUACAGAGGGUGCGAGCGUUAAUCGGAAUUACUGGGCGUAAAGCGCGCGUAGGCGGUCUAUUAAGUCAGAUGUGAAAUCCCAGGGCUCAACCUUGGAACUGCAUCUGAUACUGGUAGACUAGAGUUUUGGAGAGGGAAGUAGAAUUUCAGGUGUAGCGGUGAAAUGCAUAGAGAUCUGAAGGAAUACCAGUGGCGAAGGCGACUUCCUGACCAAAAACUGACGCUGAGGUGCGAAAGCGUGGGUAGCAAACGGGAUUAGAAACCCCAGUAGUCC